Molecule: transfer RNA, 118 nt
Filed under: Nitrosopumilus piranensis
Lineage: Archaea; Thermoproteati; Nitrososphaerota; Nitrososphaeria; Nitrosopumilales; Nitrosopumilaceae
Description: tRNA-Met
Source: RNAcentral
UGUGUGCCGGGGGCGAGUUUCGAACUCGCGACCUCCAGAUUAUGAGUAUUGCCUUAGUUGGAGAACCGCUAGAGUCUACCAAGUAACUGGCACUCUAACCAGGCUGAGCUACCCCGGC